UACGGAGGAUCCGAGCGUUAUCCGGAUUUAUUGGGUUUAAAGGGUGCGCAGGCGGGGGAUUAAGUCGGCGGUGAAAUUUUGCGGCUCAACUGUAAAAGUGCCUUCGAAACUGGUUUCCUUGAGUGUAGAUGAAGUAGGCGGAAUUUGUGGUGUAGCGGUGAAAUGCAUAGAUAUCACGAGGAACUCCGAUUGCGCAGGCAGCUUACUAAACUACUACUGACGCUCAUGCACGAAGGCGUGGGGAUCAAACAGGAUUAGAUACCCCCGUAGUCCCU
This 275-nucleotide ribosomal RNA is filed under the name uncultured prokaryote. RNAcentral describes it as "partial 16S ribosomal RNA". It matches the Rfam family "Bacterial small subunit ribosomal RNA", at positions 524 to 798 of the family's 1533-position model. The record is from RNAcentral.